GGGGGUGUAGCCCAGUGGCAGAGCACAUGCUUAGCAUGCACUAGGUCCUGGGUUCAAUCCCCAGUGACUCUG
Molecule: transfer RNA, 72 nt
Filed under: Camelus dromedarius (Arabian camel)
Lineage: Eukaryota; Metazoa; Chordata; Mammalia; Artiodactyla; Camelidae
Also listed under: 1 other name
Rfam family: tRNA
About the family: Transfer RNA (tRNA) molecules are approximately 80 nucleotides in length. Their secondary structure includes four short double-helical elements and three loops (D, anti-codon, and T loops). Further hydrogen bonds mediate the characteristic L-shaped molecular structure. tRNAs have two regions of fundamental functional importance: the anti-codon, which is responsible for specific mRNA codon recognition, and the 3' end, to which the tRNAs corresponding amino acid is attached (by aminoacyl-tRNA synthetases). tRNAs cope with the degeneracy of the genetic code in two manners: having more than one tRNA (with a specific anti-codon) for a particular amino acid; and 'wobble' base-pairing, i.e. permitting non-standard base-pairing at the 3rd anti-codon position.
Source: Rfam by way of RNAcentral